GCUUUCGUGGUGUAGUGGUCUGCACGCCAGGUUGUGGCCCUGGAAGUGUCGGUUCGAUCCCGAUCGAAGGCC
This 72-nucleotide transfer RNA is filed under the name Actinomadura pelletieri DSM 43383. RNAcentral's name for it is "tRNA-His". It matches the Rfam family "tRNA". Rfam says of the family: Transfer RNA (tRNA) molecules are approximately 80 nucleotides in length. Lineage: Bacteria; Bacillati; Actinomycetota; Actinomycetes; Streptosporangiales; Thermomonosporaceae. The record is from RNAcentral.